RNAcentral lists this long non-coding RNA (588 nucleotides) under Rattus norvegicus (Norway rat). RNAcentral's name for it is "long non-coding RNA NONRATT022321". Lineage: Eukaryota; Metazoa; Chordata; Mammalia; Rodentia; Muridae. The record is from RNAcentral.
GAGGGAACACAUAAGGUCAAUUAGCUAAUAUGGGAUUGAGCUAGGAUUCAAAUCCAGGCUGUUUAGAAGCUACACUCUUAAUCAUGGCUCUAAUUAUAGUGGUAAUGACAAUAAGAAUUAUAGUUAUUAUUCCGGGAGACUGUGAGCUCUCAGUCCCGGAGGUGGCAGGGUGAGGCCAGGCAGGCCCUGGGGAUCCCUGCUCGGGUUCAGGGAGGGCCAGUGACUCCAGGCUCAUUUCAGCAUUCAGUAGGUCAGAAACACCGAGGAGGGGUAGGGACUGGUAGAAGAAGGUACCCCUCCUUUUGCCAGCAGGGCCCUGGAUGGCCUUGUUGCAGCUGAAGGAAGAGGAUCUUGGGGGCCAUGCUGGCACCUCCAAAGACCCAAGGCUGCAGCCAGUCGGGAUAUUGAAGAAGCGCUAGGGUCCAGGAGGAUCCUGCCUUCUGGGUCAGUUUUUGGUCUUCCUGGUUGCAGCCCCCUUCCCCCUUUGCUGAGGUUUCCAAUUUGCCUGAAAGCUGAGACCCGGGGUCAGAGCUUCCUACUAGGACUGGUCCCUCCUGAAGAUGACCCCACCCCACGCCCAGUGGUGGA